UCGGGUAUGGUGUAGCGGUAACAUCGUUGACUCUCACUUUCCCCCAAAGGAAGUGACUGCUUUCUCAACAGCCCCGGGUUCGACUCCCGGUAUCCGAG
RNAcentral lists this transfer RNA (98 nucleotides) under Copromyces sp. CBS 386.78. RNAcentral describes it as "tRNA-Glu". It matches the Rfam family "tRNA". Rfam says of the family: Transfer RNA (tRNA) molecules are approximately 80 nucleotides in length. Their secondary structure includes four short double-helical elements and three loops (D, anti-codon, and T loops). Lineage: Eukaryota; Fungi; Ascomycota; Sordariomycetes; Sordariales; Sordariaceae. The record is from RNAcentral.